This 483-nucleotide ribosomal RNA is filed under the name uncultured bacterium. RNAcentral describes it as "bacterial SSU rRNA". It matches the Rfam family "Bacterial small subunit ribosomal RNA", at positions 29 to 507 of the family's 1533-position model. The record is from RNAcentral.
AUUGAACGCUGGCGGCAUGCCUAACACAUGCAAGUCGAGCGGAGUCGAUCGACGGAAGCCUUCGGGCGGAAGAUGGUUGACUUAGCGGCGGAUGGGUGAGUAACGCGUGGGCAACCUGCCUCGAAGACCGGGAUAACAGCCCGAAAGGGCUGCUAAUACCGGAUGUGGUCAAGGAUCCGCAUGGAUUUUUGAUUAAAGGGGAAACCCGUUUCGAGAUGGGCCCGCGUCCUAUCAGCUAGUUGGUGAGGUAAAAGCUCACCAAGGCGACGACGGGUAGCCGGCCUGAGAGGGUGACCGGCCACACUGGAACUGAGACACGGUCCAGACUCCUACGGGGGGCAGCAGUGGGGAAUCUUCCACAAUGGGCGAAAGCCUGAUGGAGCGACGCCGCGUGAGCGAAGAAGGCCUUCGGGUUGUAAAGCUCUGUCUGGAGGGACGAAGGAAGUGACGGUACCUCCGGAGGAAGCCACGGCUAACUACGUG